ACAGCGGGUGCUUGGAAAGAGUCAGUUCUGAGCCAGUGCGAUAGAAGCUCCAUGGAAUACCGAAUGUGGAUUACUGAGCCCAGGGGUCCACCAGAUGGGAGAUAAAUAUCUAAAACUCCCAACUCCAUGGAAACAGCCGCAGCUCUUCAAGGUGAUUUUGUACACACACAAAAAAGGAAAAGAAAGUGGAGUUCACAUGAGGCCCCCGCCCUUGCUGCGGCUUCCCAGCCUCUUUCCAUGUCUUCAGAAAUGCCGGCACAGAAAGGAGACAGAAGGAAAAACAGAAAUCAGAGUCAAAUUUUCAGGAUUCCUAUCUCAACCUCCUGGAAGAUUUAUUGGAAGUAAAUAAAUGUGCUUGUGAAUUGAU
This 367-nucleotide long non-coding RNA is filed under the name Chinchilla lanigera (long-tailed chinchilla). RNAcentral's name for it is "lncRNA (ENSCLAG00000028408.1)". Lineage: Eukaryota; Metazoa; Chordata; Mammalia; Rodentia; Chinchillidae. The record is from RNAcentral.